RNAcentral lists this microRNA (21 nucleotides) under Bos taurus (domestic cattle). RNAcentral describes it as "bta-miR-12060". Lineage: Eukaryota; Metazoa; Chordata; Mammalia; Artiodactyla; Bovidae. The record is from miRBase by way of RNAcentral.
UUGGGAGACCAGGGGAAGACU